RNAcentral lists this ribosomal RNA (1487 nucleotides) under metagenome. RNAcentral describes it as "bacterial LSU rRNA". It matches the Rfam family "Bacterial large subunit ribosomal RNA", at positions 1463 to 2925 of the family's 2925-position model. The record is from RNAcentral.
GAAGGGGGGACGGAGAAGGCUAUGUUGGCCGGGCGACGGUUGUCCCGGUUUAAGCGUGUAGGCUGGUUUUCCAGGCAAAUCCGGAAAAUCAAGGCUGAGGCGUGAUGACGAGGCACUACGGUGCUGAAGCAACAAAUGCCCUGCUUCCAGGAAAAGCCUCUAAGCAUCAGGUAACAUCAAAUCGUACCCCAAACCGACACAGGUGGUCAGGUAGAGAAUACCAAGGCGCUUGAGAGAACUCGGGUGAAGGAACUAGGCAAAAUGGUGCCGUAACUUCGGGAGAAGGCACGCUGAUAUGUAGGUGAAGCGACUUGCUCGUGGAGCUGAAAUCAGUCGAAGAUACCAGCUGGCUGCAACUGUUUAUUAAAAACACAGCACUGUGCAAACACGAAAGUGGACGUAUACGGUGUGACGCCUGCCCGGUGCCGGAAGGUUAAUUGAUGGGGUUAGCGCAAGCGAAGCUCUUGAUCGAAGCCCCGGUAAACGGCGGCCGUAACUAUAACGGUCCUAAGGUAGCGAAAUUCCUUGUCGGGUAAGUUCCGACCUGCACGAAUGGCGUAAUGAUGGCCAGGCUGUCUCCACCCGAGACUCAGUGAAAUUGAACUCGCUGUGAAGAUGCAGUGUACCCGCGGCAAGACGGAAAGACCCCGUGAACCUUUACUAUAGCUUGACACUGAACAUUGAGCCUUGAUGUGUAGGAUAGGUGGGAGGCUUAGAAGUGUGGACGCCAGUCUGCAUGGAGCCGACCUUGAAAUACCACCCUUUAAUGUUUGAUGUUCUAACGUUGACCCGUAAUCCGGGUUGCGGACAGUGUCUGGUGGGUAGUUUGACUGGGGCGGUCUCCUCCUAAAGAGUAACGGAGGAGCACGAAGGUUGGCUAAUCCUGGUCGGACAUCAGGAGGUUAGUGCAAUGGCAUAAGCCAGCUUGACUGCGAGCGUGACGGCGCGAGCAGGUGCGAAAGCAGGUCAUAGUGAUCCGGUGGUUCUGAAUGGAAGGGCCAUCGCUCAACGGAUAAAAGGUACUCCGGGGAUAACAGGCUGAUACCGCCCAAGAGUUCAUAUCGACGGCGGUGUUUGGCACCUCGAUGUCGGCUCAUCACAUCCUGGGGCUGAAGUAGGUCCCAAGGGUAUGGCUGUUCGCCAUUUAAAGUGGUACGCGAGCUGGGUUUAGAACGUCGUGAGACAGUUCGGUCCCUAUCUGCCGUGGGCGCUGGAGAACUGAGGGGGGCUGCUCCUAGUACGAGAGGACCGGAGUGGACGCAUCACUGGUGUUCGGGUUGUCAUGCCAAUGGCACUGCCCGGUAGCUAAAUGCGGAAGAGAUAAGUGCUGAAAGCAUCUAAGCACGAAGCUUGCCCCGAGAUGAGUUCUCCCUGACCCUUUAAGGGUCCUGAAGGAACGUUGAAGACGACGACGUUGAUAGGCCGGGUGUGUAAGCGCAGCGAUGCGUUGAGCUAACCGGUACUAAUGAACCGUGAGGCUUAACCUU